Molecule: non-coding RNA, 29 nt
Filed under: Mus musculus (house mouse)
Lineage: Eukaryota; Metazoa; Chordata; Mammalia; Rodentia; Muridae
Source: RNAcentral
UAGUGACUCAAAGACAUCUGUGCUGCCAG